This is a long non-coding RNA of Hydractinia symbiolongicarpus, 1996 nucleotides long. RefSeq lists it as uncharacterized. The transcript has 2 exons. The record is from RefSeq and is a predicted model, not a curated record. NCBI's taxonomy places the organism in Eukaryota, Metazoa, Cnidaria, Hydrozoa, Anthoathecata, Hydractiniidae.
UAAUUGAACUGAUUUUGAACUUUGACCUUAUAAAUGUGAUAAUUGAGCCAGUUUGACUACAAGAAAUAACAUUCUUCUUAAUUUGACAUGAUUGCUGGAACUCAGCGAUUACACUGGUAGCUGUGGCAGCGCUUUAUUAAAAAUUUAAAUAAAAAAGUCAUUUUUUACUGUGGGACCAAUCCCAGCCGUUAGUUCGCGCUGAAGAAUUAAAGACAGUUUCAAAAACUACAUUAUUAUUAAGCGAUAUUAUCAAGUUGUAUCGCUUUUAACUGUGAAACGAUUGACUCUGGGAAUUAAUUGAACUGAAUCCGUACUGUGACCUUAGAAAUGUGAUAAAUGAGCCAAUUGGACUCCAAGAAGUUACAUUCUUCUUAAAUUGACAUGAUUGCUGGAAUUCAGCGAAUACACUAGGCUCUGCGGUAGCGCUUUAUUUAAAAAUUGAGAUAAAUAAGUCUUUUUUUACUGUGGGACCAAUCCUGGCCGUUAGCACGCACUGAAGAAAUAGAGACAUUCUCAAAAACUACAUUUCAUUGAUUUCUUGGCGGUAUCAAUCCGUUUCAGUAGGCUGUUCAGUCACGUGACAAUUCUUGCCGUCAAAAAAAAUCUCGGCGCGGCGGAAGAUGAGAACUUCAAAAUUUUUAAAGGUGAGCGUAUGGCACCUUAGCAUUUGGGUACUUUUCUUGCACUAAACCAAUUUAGGCCGGUUUAUGUUGGGUACCUAUGCAAAGGUAGAUGAUUUUCUGAGGUAAACAAAGAUGAAAAUCCCGGUUUCUGUUUGAGGAAGUAAAAAAAUCAGGUUGUGGUUGCUUUUUCACUUAUGUUGGGGUCUGGUCUGUAAAUUGGAAAUAUAACGAAACAGCACAAUAUAUUUUGCUAGCAAUUAUAUAUUUUAUUUUAUCCAAUUAUUCAUAUGUAUUUGAUGAGUUUUCACCAUUUUGGCCUUCACUUCUUACUUCUGUGAAUCAUAAUAAAUCUAGUCUCUAAAAUGUGAUUCUGAUAACUGAGCACACAAUAAUUUUUUUCCAAGUUGCAGUAAUAUUAUUUAUUAACUAAAUUAUUUAUAUUUGCACAUGUAGUCAAUGAUUUUUCACAAUUUUGGUCUUUUUGUCAAGUCUGUAAAUUACAUUAAAUCUGGUCUGUAAAAUAUACAUUUUGAGAUUUAACAUGAUACUUCAUAUAAUUUAUUUGAUAAGUAUUGGUCAUACUAUCAUGCCUAUUUAUUUGCACUUUUUGUUUGACUGUUUUUGCUUUUUUUGAGCAUAUUCCGCAUCUGGUUUGGAAAUUACAAAGAAUCUGGUCUAUAGAAUAUACUUUCAGAAUAUCUCAUGACACUCCCACUUUUUUUUUAAAAAAAAUAUUUAUUCUAUUCUGAUUUUUUUCUGCUCCCACAUUUCCUUGAGAAGUUUUUACUGUUUUGGUUAUAUUUUAGGUCUGUAAAUUACAAAAAAUGUGGUCUGUAAAAUGUAUUUAUUAAAGGAUCACGUGAUACCUCAUAAUUGUAUUUUCCUUAACUGAGAGACCUAAAAACCAUCCUAAUUAUUCAUAUUUACACACGUAGUCAAUGAUUUUUCACGAUUUUGGUCUUUUUUUGUCAAGUCUGUAAAUUACACUAAAUCUGGUCUGUAAAAUAUACAUUUCGAGUUUUAACAUGGUACUUUAUAUAUAUAAUUUAUUUUGAUAAGUAGUGAUCAUACUAUUAUGUCUCUUUAAUAAUAUUCGCAUUUUUUAUAUGAUCGUUUUUGCUAUUUUGGACAUAUUUUGGGCCUGGUCUGGAAAUUACAAAAAAUCUGGUCCGUAAAAUGUACUUCUUGAAGAAUCACGUGAUACCUCAUAAUUUAUUUUUAAACAAAGUGGUAUUUUAAGUAGCCUAGUUAUGCAUUUGCGUGUGUUUUAUUGACGAUUUCCUGUUAUAUUCCUAAAAUUUAUGACCAUAUUUUGUAAUGUAAUUUUGCGCAUGCGCAAUAGCAUUUGGUAAAAUAUACGACCUAAUCAUAUA